AACGCGAAGAACCUUACCAAGCCUUGACAUCCUUCUGACCGUCCCUUAACCGGGAUUUUCCUUCGGGGCAGGAGAGACAGGUGGUGCAUGGUUGUUGUCAGCUCGUGUCGUGAGAUGUUGGGUUAAGUCCCGCAACGAGCGCAACCCCUAUCUUCAGUAGCCAGCAGGUAAGGCUGGGCACUCUGGACAGACUGCCGGGGAUAACCCGGAGGAAGGCGGGGAUGACGUCAAAUCAUCAUGCCCCUUAUGGCUUGGGCUACACACGUGCUACAAUGGCGGUAACAAAGGGAAGCGACCCUGCGAAGGCAAGCAAACCCCAAAAAAGCCAUCCCAGUUCGGAUUGCAGUCUGCAACUCGAGUCGCGUGAGGGCGAGCCCCGGGUAGUCGCGAAUCACAUUGAU
RNAcentral lists this ribosomal RNA (401 nucleotides) under uncultured bacterium. RNAcentral describes it as "bacterial SSU rRNA". It matches the Rfam family "Bacterial small subunit ribosomal RNA", at positions 958 to 1358 of the family's 1533-position model. The record is from RNAcentral.